This 253-nucleotide ribosomal RNA is filed under the name uncultured bacterium. Its description in RNAcentral is "partial 16S ribosomal RNA". It matches the Rfam family "Bacterial small subunit ribosomal RNA", at positions 524 to 776 of the family's 1533-position model. The record is from RNAcentral.
UACAGAGGGUGCAAGCGUUAAUCGGAAUUACUGGGCGUAAAGCGUGCGUAGACGGUUACGUAAGUCAGAUGUGAAAGCCCCGGGCUCAACCUGGGAAUUGCAUUUGAGACUGUGUAGCUAGGGUGCGGAAGAGGGAAGCGGAAUUUCCGGUGUAGCGGUGAAAUGCGUAGAUAUCGGAAGGAACACCAGUGGCGAAGGCGACUACCUGGCCCAUUCUUGACGCUGAGGCGCGAAAGCUAGGGGAGCGAACGGG